This 468-nucleotide ribosomal RNA is filed under the name uncultured bacterium. RNAcentral describes it as "partial 16S ribosomal RNA". It matches the Rfam family "Bacterial small subunit ribosomal RNA", at positions 28 to 507 of the family's 1533-position model. The record is from RNAcentral.
GAUGAACGCUGGCGGCGUGCUUAACACAUGCAAGUCGAACGGAAAGGCUCUGCUGUUGUCGGGUGCUCGAGUGGCGAACGGGUGAGUAACACGUGCGUAACGCGCCCUUGACUUUGGGAUAACUUCAGGUAAUUAGGGCUAAUACCGGAUAGGAACUCCUGCUUCAUGGUGGUGGUUGGAAAGCUUCGGCGGUUGGGGAUGGACUGGCGGCUUAUCAGCUUGUUGGUGGGGUAGUGGCAUGCCAAGGCUUUGGCGGGUAGGCGGCCUGAGAGGGUGACCGGGAACAUUGGGACUGAGAUGGAGACCAGACCCAAACAGGAAGGGGCGGUGGCAGAGAGUGCAAGAUGGCAGGAAGCCUGAUCUAGAAACGCCGGGUGCGGGUUGACGAUUUAGGGGUUGUAGACUGCUAUCGCAUGUGAUGAAGCGGAUGUGACGGUAAUCGGUAAAGAAGCACCGGCUAACUCCGUG